AGCAUGUAAGUUAUUGGUGCCAUGACAUAAACAGUCCAUUAUGAGGAGAUGCCCUUGGCAAGCUUCAUGUCAUGGCAAACAGUAUGUGAGUAUAAGCAGUCUGGGCCCCAUUUAACAACCCCAUUACAAGCAAUGACAUUCUGUGCAAGCUGUGUGAGCUAUAAGAUGUUUGGAAAAGUUUUUUGCGCGCACCUGCUUUUCUCUCUGCCGGUUGUUAAGAGUGUUGAGAAAAAUAAUGAGGUUUGCAUGAUAUGAAAUAAUGUUUCUAUAGCAAUGACGAUCUAUGCAAGCUGUGUGAACUAUAAGAAGUUUGGAAAAGGUUUCUUUCUUUCUUUUUUUUUUUUGCAUGUGCCCGCUUUUCUCUCUUUGCCUGCUCUAUUUUAGGUGGGAGACUAAAAAGGGUCGCCCAGUUUUGCUUUCUGCAGAAAAUAAAGCUGAUUAUUAGUA
Non-coding RNA from Pantherophis guttatus, 447 nucleotides. The record is from RefSeq and is a predicted model, not a curated record. Lineage: Eukaryota; Metazoa; Chordata; Lepidosauria; Squamata; Colubridae.